GCGCCCGUGGCCUAAUGGAUAAGGCAACAGCCUCCGGAGCUGUUCAUGCAGGUUCGACUCCCGCCGGGCGCG
RNAcentral lists this transfer RNA (72 nucleotides) under Candidatus Omnitrophota bacterium. RNAcentral's name for it is "Candidatus Omnitrophica bacterium (sediment metagenome) tRNA-Arg". It matches the Rfam family "tRNA". Rfam says of the family: Transfer RNA (tRNA) molecules are approximately 80 nucleotides in length. Their secondary structure includes four short double-helical elements and three loops (D, anti-codon, and T loops). Lineage: Bacteria; Pseudomonadati; Candidatus Omnitrophota. The record is from RNAcentral.